Molecule: long non-coding RNA, 1243 nt
Organism: Glycine soja
Lineage: Eukaryota; Viridiplantae; Streptophyta; Magnoliopsida; Fabales; Fabaceae
Exons: 3
Source: RefSeq, a predicted model, not a curated record
UGUUCCAAGACAUUACUACUCUAUUGCUUGAUCCUAAGCAUUUAAGGACACAAUAGAUUUUUUCAUUGAGCGGUACAAGGGAAAAAACAUUUUUGUUGUCGUUACUGUUGCUUUUUUUUUUCUAGCAUGACAAUAAGAAGGAUAUGAACAUUUUCAAUGCAGCUUGGUAGCUAAUGUUUUUAAUUUUAUUUUUUGCUACUUCAGGUAUUAUGUUCCAAGACAUUACUAUGUUCUCAUCUCAUACACUUUGUAGUGGCCCAUGAUUGCUCUAUAGUGUGCUAUUGAUAAUGUUUAAGUUUCUCAAAUGCCAUUAUUGGUUUAUGCAAUUGAUUUAAUCUAAAUCUGUAGCUAUUCUACAGUGGCCAAACUCUUCUUUUUAAAUUAUUUGAUAACCAUGUUUUAAGUGUACAUUUAUAUUGUCUUUAUAAUCUUCUACAACAACCUCCUUCUCCUUGGAUGAACCAAAGGCCUCCACUUGAUGUCAAUGUUGGUGAGUUUUAUUUAAAAUCAGGAUAAAGUGUUUAAUCAAAUCGCUUUGCAGUAAUGUAAUGAUGGUGUGGAACUGUAGCUUAUGUGGAAGGGAGGGAUGAGGAGGAACUUCUAAUACGCAGGUAAACAAGUCAAUUAGGUCUGAUAGAAGAAUGCUUCCUUUGUUGUCAAAAUUUGAAGCGACCUCAUCAUGGUAGAGUUAUUUUAUAAAGCUAGCAAACAUUGUUACUGUUGUUGCAAAACAUUUUAUAGGUAUUUUGGUCUAGAAUGUCAAACUUGAGCUUAAAUCCAUUACAUUUAGAUGUUAUUGAUGCUUUAAAAAGAUCCAGGACUUCUUCACGAUGCCAUGGAAGUUAAAACGCAAUGAUUUGACUUCUCAAUAUAAUGUUGGUGGAUAUAUACCUCAACAAGAUGGAGCUGGGGAUGCUGCACAUGGAGUUUUUGAAAUUGAGGAACUGAUUCACACACAACUAUGAUUUAUGGCCUGGGUGUUGCUGGAUGGGGAGUUGGUGGAAUAGAAGCAGAAGUUGCAAUGCUUGGCCAGCCCAUGAGCAUGGUCCAACCAGGUGUUGUUGGGCUCAAAUUAUUAGGAAAACUACGAGAUGGUGUCACAGCUACUGACUUGGUGUUGAUUGUUACACAAAUGCUAAGAAAGCAUGGGGUUGUUGGCAAGUUUGUACGGUUUUUUUCCUACUCUCUCUUAGUUUGUGUUGUUUAUUUGUUUACUUUAAUUAUUAUUAUUAUUGUUGUUGUU